AGGGACUCUGUGUGGGGGCUCCAACCCCACAUUCCCCUUCUGCACUGCCCUAGCAGAGGUUCUCCAUGAGGACCCGCCCAACAUGAUGAAGCAAAUGUCUGUGUGGGCAUCCAGCUGUUCUCCUUACAUCCUCUGAAAUCUAGGCAGAGCUUCCCAAACCUCAAUUCUUGACUUCUGUGUGCCCACGGCCUCAACACCACAUGGAAUCAGCCAAGGCUCGG
This 221-nucleotide long non-coding RNA is filed under the name Homo sapiens (human). RNAcentral describes it as "non-protein coding lnc-RAB1A-7:1". The record is from RNAcentral. Lineage: Eukaryota; Metazoa; Chordata; Mammalia; Primates; Hominidae.